AAAGCAUUAGGUGCAUCAUUCGCAUGGAUGGUUAGAUGUGUCUGCUGUUGCUGAUCAAUCUAAUGGAGGCAGAAUGAAGAUGAUCACAUAAUUUUCCAAGUUAUAUAUUACCCCGAGAAUAAGUAAUUUAUGCUGUAUGUUUGAUGACUUGCUGCGAAUGGCUUUCAAAGAGUUGUGUUUUCUACAUAUUUCUUACAGUCCCUUUUUAUUUUUGUUUUUCUGUUUGAUGACUUGCUGCAUAUGGCGUACAAAGAGGUGUGUUUUCUACCUAUUUCUUACUGUACUUCUUUUUGUAGCUUAUGUAAUAAAGAUUUUCGUGUAAAUCUUCUUUCUUAUACGCCGUUGCAGUGUUAAUGAUAUGGUAAUUACGCCAGUCGCUUUUGUCGGCUUCAAAUAGACUUCUCUGCCACCUUAAUGUAAUAACCUUUGCCAAAUCCCAUUGUUGGUGCUCGAAUGAUUUCCCCAGGCUUCACUUGAGACCAGCUUUAAAAAAAUUGAAAAAAAUCAAAAUAAAAAGGUUAAAUUCUUAAAUCUCUUGUGGUGCUCAAACAAUGACCGAUAAAUGAAAGCU
RNAcentral lists this long non-coding RNA (571 nucleotides) under Citrus sinensis (sweet orange). RNAcentral's name for it is "long non-coding RNA (CSIN_LNC001475)". The record is from RNAcentral. Lineage: Eukaryota; Viridiplantae; Streptophyta; Magnoliopsida; Sapindales; Rutaceae.